CGCGUAGGUGGUAGUGCAAGUCUGGGGUGGAAUCCUAUGGCUUAACCAUAGAAUUGCCCUGGAAACUGUAUUACUUGAGUCAGUGAGGGGAGGGUAGAAUUCCUGGUGUAGCGGUGAAAUGCGUAGAUAUCAGGAGGAAGGCCUGUGGCGAAGGCGGCCCUCUGGCGCUGAACUGACACUGAGGCGCGAAAGCGUGGGGAGCAAACAGGAUUAGAUACCCUGGUAGUCCACGCCCUAAACGGUGGGCACUAGGUGUGGGGCUCGUAAGGGUUCUGUGCCGAAGCGAAAGCAUUAAGUGCCCCGCCUGGGGAGUACGGCCGCAAGGUUGAA
This 330-nucleotide ribosomal RNA is filed under the name uncultured bacterium. Its description in RNAcentral is "bacterial SSU rRNA". It matches the Rfam family "Bacterial small subunit ribosomal RNA", at positions 568 to 898 of the family's 1533-position model. The record is from RNAcentral.